GUGCCCUGUUGCAAUCCAACUUAACGAUGCGAAAGUAGGCCUUUGCCAAAGCGACCAAUUACACGCUAACUUUGAAGUACCCAUUAAAUGGGUUUCUUGUACCCAUUUUUAUUUCUAGUACUGAGUUGUCAGAAAAAGGGUAUUAUUUUUUGACACUAAAAAGGGUACGUUUUACUCUUCUUGAAGAAUGAGUUCCGUCAACAAUAAUGGGUAAAAAAGCCACUUGUCGUUGUUUGGGGCAGCAACAUUGAAAUUUUUUGCCGCUGUUCAUAUUGUAUUAAUUAAUUGAAAGAACAAUGCAAACCCCUCGAAGAAGCAUGAGAAGCAGCAAUUUAAGUGUUAUUUUUCAUCCAAGAUCUGGAACCGGAAGACACGCAGUAAGAUCCAGGAAUACAGAUGGACUCACAAGCAAGUCACCGUAUUGAUGUUCGAAUUGACCCUUUAUAAAUGAUCCAAUAAAAUGAUUUUUAUUAGACUGUA
This is a long non-coding RNA of Aedes aegypti (yellow fever mosquito), 480 nucleotides long. RefSeq lists it as uncharacterized. The transcript is spliced from 2 exons. NCBI's taxonomy places the organism in Eukaryota, Metazoa, Arthropoda, Insecta, Diptera, Culicidae. The record is from RefSeq and is a predicted model, not a curated record.